GACGAACGCUGGCGGCGUGCCUAAUACAUGCAAGUCGAGCGAAGUUUUUCUGGUGCUUGCACCGGAAAAACUUAGCGGCGAACGGGUGAGUAACACGUAAAGAACCUGCCUCAUAGACUGGGACAACUAUUGGAAACGAUAGCUAAUACCGGAUAACAGCAUUAACUGCAUGGUUGAUGUUUAAAAGUUGGUUUUGCUAACACUAUGAGAUGGCUUUGCGGUGCAUUAGCUAGUUGGUGGGGUAAAGGCCUACCAAGGCGACGAUGCAUAGCCGACCUGAGAGGGUGAUCGGCCACACUGGGACUGAGACACGGCCCAGACUCCUACGGGAGGCAGCAGUAGGGAAUCUUCCGCAAUGGGCGAAAGCCUGACGGAGCAACGCCGCGUGAGUGAAGAAGGAUUUCGGUUCGUAAAGCUCUGUUGUUAGGGAAGAAUGAUUGUGUAGUAACUAUACACAGUAUAGACGGUACCUAACCAGAAAGCCACGGCUAACUACGUGCCAGCAGCCUCGGUAAUACGUAGGUGGCAAGCGUUGUCCGGAAUUAUUGGGCGUAAAGCGCGCGCAGGUGGUUUAUAAGUCUGAGGUGAAAGCCCACGGCUCAACCGUGGAGGUGUCAUUGGAAACUGUUAACUUGAGUGCAGGAAGAGAAAAUUGGAAUUCCUAUGUGUUGCGGUUAAAUGCUUAUAUAUUAGGAUGGAACUGCAGGGGUGAUGGCGUUUUUUUGCCUGGAUUUGACGCUGAGUCGGAAAGGGUGGUGGAGGAACAGGAUGUAUUCCCUGUUAGUCCAAGGGUAUUCCACACUGUUAUUAUGUGUGUUGUAUGCGUGCUGCCGGGGGGAUGAAAAAAUAUAACAUAUUUUGGUUCCCUGUGUGGCUGUUAUGUAUGGCUUCUGUGUGUUGCA
RNAcentral lists this ribosomal RNA (902 nucleotides) under uncultured Enterobacteriaceae bacterium. Its description in RNAcentral is "bacterial SSU rRNA". It matches the Rfam family "Bacterial small subunit ribosomal RNA". The record is from RNAcentral. Lineage: Bacteria; Pseudomonadati; Pseudomonadota; Gammaproteobacteria; Enterobacterales; Enterobacteriaceae.